Molecule: ribosomal RNA, 397 nt
Filed under: uncultured bacterium
Lineage: Bacteria
Description: partial 16S ribosomal RNA
Rfam family: Bacterial small subunit ribosomal RNA
Source: RNAcentral
AUACGUAGGGGGCGAGCGUUGUCCGGAAUGAUUGGGCGUAAAGGGCGCGUAGGCGGCCCGGUAAGUCUGGAGUGAAAGUCCUGUUUUUAAGAUGGGAAUUGCUUUGGAUACUGUCGGGCUUGAGUGCAGGAGAGGUAAGUGGAAUUCCCAGUGUAGCGGUGAAAUGCGUAGAGAUUGGGAGGAACACCAGUGGCGAAGGCGACUUACUGGACUGUAACUGACGCUGAGGCGCGAAAGUGUGGGGAGCAAACAGGAUUAGAUACCCUGGUAGUCCACACUGUAAACGAUGAAUGCUAGGUGUAGGAGGUAUCGACCCCUUCUGUGCCGCAGUAAACACAGUAAGCAUUCCGCCUGGGGAGUACGGUCGCAAGAUUAAAACUCAAAUGAAUUGACGGGG